RNAcentral lists this long non-coding RNA (202 nucleotides) under Gossypium raimondii (Peruvian cotton). RNAcentral's name for it is "long non-coding RNA (GRAI_LNC005236)". Lineage: Eukaryota; Viridiplantae; Streptophyta; Magnoliopsida; Malvales; Malvaceae. The record is from RNAcentral.
GGUGAUUGGAUGGUGAGAAAAAGAGGAAAAAAUUUGAAGGUUUUUGAUAGAAGAACAAAAAAGAUGAGGUGUAGAAGCAGCAGAAAAACAAAAACAAAAAUAAGAAAAGAGGUACAAGAAGACGCCACGUGACAGUGCGUGAUUGGGUAACGCUGCCACGUCGGUAAAAAGUUAACGGUAUUAGACUCGAGUACCAAUUCAG